UCAACUUUCCACUACUAAUUGAACACAAAUUUAGUUGCUUUAAUUUUAUUAGUUACAAUUCCCAUCAUGAAUUCUAAGUUCAUCAUUGUCUGUGUUCUAAUGACUCUCUUGCUGGUUCUACGGCCAGCCAUAAGUGCUGCACCUUCAUGUGAUGCUGUUAUAACUAGCUUCUCGCCUUGUUUAUCAUACUUGAAAAACGUUGGUUCCGUACCUUCAACAAGUUGUUGCGAUAACAUCAAAGUACUUGACCAACAGGUGACCGAGAAGCAAGAUAGAAAAAGUGUGUGUCAAUGUAUUAAGCUUGCCGUUCCUAUUAUCGGUACCGUUAACAAUACUCGUGUCGGAGAUAUCUCAAACAACUGUGGAUCUAAGUUUUAUAAAAUCCCACUCAUUUCGCCUGACAUGAACUGCGACAAUGUUGCAUGAGAAGACGAAGGUCUUGCAAGAAAUCUUUCAAUGGAAAUUGGGAUAUGAAGUACAUGAAAUAAAAGUAAUAAAUAAAAUAUAAUAAGAAUGAUUGUGGUUACUUGCUUGCUUGCACCAUGUACUUUGGAGGUUAUCAAUAUUAACUUAAAAUUAACGUAAA
Molecule: long non-coding RNA, 586 nt
Organism: Papaver somniferum (opium poppy)
Lineage: Eukaryota; Viridiplantae; Streptophyta; Magnoliopsida; Ranunculales; Papaveraceae
Exons: 2
Source: RefSeq, a predicted model, not a curated record